GAUUUAUAAUAACUUAGCAAAUCGCAAAGUGAAAACAGGCGAUAAAUCAUUCAAGUUUCUGACCUAUCAGCUUUCGACGGUAUGGUAUUGGCUUACCGUGGCAGUGACGGUUAACGGGGGAUUAGGGUUCGAUUCCGGAGAGGGAGCCUGAGAAACGGCUACCACAUCUAAGGAAGGCAGCAGGCGCGCAAAUUACCCAAUUCUAACAGUUUGAGAGAGGUAGUAACAAGAAAUAACAAUACAAGGCAGUUAAAAUGCUUUGUAAUUGGAAUGAUAGAAAUUUAAACCCUUUUUAAAGUAUCAAUUGGAGGGCAAGUCUGGUGCCAGCAGCCGCGGUAAUUCCAGCUCCAAUAGCGUAUAUUAAAAUUGUUGCAGUUAAAAAGCUCGUAGUUGAAGUUCUGCUGAAAGUAACCGGUCUGCUUUUAAUAAAAGUGGUAUCUUGGUAUGUAUUUAGCAAUGAUGUCCUUUGAAGUGUUUUUUACUUUAUUGUAAUAAAGCAUAUUCAGGACUUUUACUUUGAGAAAAUUAGAGUGUUUCUAGCAGGCUAACGCUUUUGAAUACUGCAGCAUGGAUA
Molecule: ribosomal RNA, 574 nt
Filed under: Hepatozoon canis
Lineage: Eukaryota; Apicomplexa; Hepatozoidae
Description: SSU rRNA
Rfam family: Eukaryotic small subunit ribosomal RNA
Source: RNAcentral